This 250-nucleotide long non-coding RNA is filed under the name Hordeum vulgare. RNAcentral's name for it is "long non-coding RNA (HVUL_LNC003601)". The record is from RNAcentral. Lineage: Eukaryota; Viridiplantae; Streptophyta; Magnoliopsida; Poales; Poaceae.
UGUUUGUUUUUGUUGUUGAUUCAUGUAUGUGGUUUGUGAUGUUGAUGUGCUAUGCGACGAUGAAGUGGUGUUUGAAAGUUGGGUCUCAACUAUGAUAGUUUUCAACUACGUUUCAAACCCCCCCUUCUUGAUUUCUCAAGCUCAAGAUUUACUUGCUCUAACCCGGGUUCAAAAAUGUAGAUCAUUUAGAGUGUUUCCUUGUGGAUGUGGUGCUGUGUCUAGGGUAUUUUAAAUCUUUGGUCUAGUGGGG